AAAGACAAGUGUAAAUGGAUAAUCAUCGCCCAACUGCUCCCUCGGUGCUCCAAUCCAGGCCUCCUCUGGAUCCUCCAGGAAACUAGAAUUGAAUCGCCGGAGGACUGCUCCUUCUUCCUAGUGAGCCCCUCUCUUCGGAUGGCCUCUGAUCUCAACUACGUUAACACCACCUCUAGUAGCAGUGUAAGGGAUUCGUUCGAUAUCUAAGGAGAAGUAUUUUUUUCUUCUUCUUCAUCUAUUCAUCUGCUUCCUUCUUCGUUGAAUUAUAUUUGUUUUUUUUAUUUUUCUCUCUAUUAUUAAAUUACUAAUUCUCCUAUCUGGGUUUCUUGAUUUUCCUUUUUUGAAAAUUUUUAGGUUUUUUCAUGAAUGAUUGCUUAUUACAAAUUUAAUUAUAAAAUUUUGUGAGUUCUUUUUUUCCGUUGGAUUGAAUAACAGAAAAAGAAAAACCUUUCUGUUUUGGGCUUGUGGUUACUGCUUUGGAUUUUGAUUGUAACACUUUGUUGGUGAAUAUUCAUUAAAGAAAACAAAAAUCAGAUCUUUUUUAGCCAUGGAUUUUGCUAAGUCAGAUCAAAGAUUUCCUUCUUUUUUUCAUGCUCUGUUUCAUCGCCCAAAAAAUACUGUCUAAUUCACCGAAAUGUUCGCCUCUGUUUUCUUUUCCUUGUUUCUGUUUUUGAGAAAACAAGAGACAAACAUGGGAGAAGAAAAUCAAAAUAGAAGCAGAAAUAGAAGCAGCAGUAGCUGUAAUAGCAUAG
This 752-nucleotide long non-coding RNA is filed under the name Manihot esculenta (cassava). RNAcentral's name for it is "long non-coding RNA (MESC_LNC005055)". The record is from RNAcentral. Lineage: Eukaryota; Viridiplantae; Streptophyta; Magnoliopsida; Malpighiales; Euphorbiaceae.